RNAcentral lists this unclassified non-coding RNA (257 nucleotides) under Trichosporonaceae sp. RNAcentral describes it as "partial contains 5.8S ribosomal RNA, internal transcribed spacer 2, and large subunit ribosomal RNA". Lineage: Eukaryota; Fungi; Basidiomycota; Tremellomycetes; Trichosporonales; Trichosporonaceae. The record is from RNAcentral.
CGCAACUUGCGCUCUCUGGUAUUCCGGAGAGCAUGCCUGUUUGAGUGUCAUGAAAUCUCAACCACUAGGGUUUCCUAAUGGAUUGGAUUUGGGUGUUGCCAGCUUGUCUGGCUCGCCUUAAAGGAGUUAGCGAGUAUAGCAAUAUCGUCUGGCGUAAUAAGUUUCGCUGGUAAGAUUUGUGAAGCACGCUUCUAAUCGCCCUUGGGCAAUUUUUUGACUCUGGCCUCAAAUCAGGUAGGACUACCCGCUGAACUUAA